AGGGAAGAAGAACUGUGAGGAGCUGCUUUCCUGCAGCGAGCUGUGACCUCCCCUUCCUUCCGCAUCUCCUCCUUGUGCCUUCCCACCCUGGCAUCCACCCCAGCCCUGCUGCACCCCCACCUCCCAGGAACACCCCAAAAUCCACACCCAGGGGGCUGGGGAUGGGUUCAAGCCCCUGCUCCAGGUUCAGGGCGCUGUCACUGCACUCCAGAGCUGCUUUGUGCUGGUGCCCUGAGCACUGGCUCCUUCUGCCCGUUUUUGGGCAUUUUGUGACACCCUCCCACCCAGACACCUUUUUUUGGUGGUUUUAUUUCCAAAUGUCUGAUUGCUCUGACUGCCACAUAAACCCAGAGAUCAGGGAAGCUCCUGGGGCUGAUCCCACAGCCCCCUGCCAGUUUGUAGGGGACAGCUCUUGCUCCAGAGGGACCCAUCAUCAACAAAAACCAGUCCUGAGGGUGCUGCAGGGCUGGCCCAGAGCAUCUCCUGCUCCUCCUGGCUGCAGGAGGGGCUGUGGCAGUGUGGGGUGGAUCCCGAUCCUCCCUCGGGCAGCACCGGCUGCCUCUGCCUCGGCAGCUCUGGCUGAUGCAAUUUUUGCCAUUACAGAUCAAACUGCUCCGCCUCGGGUGGCAGACUCCCCCGGGGCAGGCAGGAGGGGUUGUUGUGUUCCUGUUGCUUUGCAGCAGCCUACGGGGAUCCCGCUGCCUCCCCAGGGUGGCUGCCUGCUUCCCCUCCUCCUCCUCCUCUCCUCCUCCUCCUCGUCCUCGGGCUGUCUGUACUGGCUGAGCCCUUCCCAGAGCCGAGCUUGGGGGGCAGAUCCUGCACCAGAAUUGCCCCAUUGGCUCCUUGUUGCCCCUGGUGCUGGUUUGUGCCAGAAUUCCCUCAUCCCUCUGCCUGCUCAUGGGGAGCAUCCCUGGAUCCUGCCAGUGGCUGUGCCUGUGGCUUUCCUGCCACCCCGUGUGAUCAAACAGCCUCAGAGCAUGAGGACACCCUGCCCAGGGGAUGGAGCGUCCCUGGGGGCAGAGUUUGGGAUGCUGGGAAAAAUCUCGAGGCAUCCCUGGUGCUUCCAGCCCUGGGAGGGAGCAGGAGAGGCUGUGAUGGAGCUGGAGGUGGCACAGGGGUACAGAAAUCCCUGAGAGGGAAAAGCAGAGUUUGGGAUGGAGCUGAAGGUGGCACAGGGGAUGCAGAGGCUGUGAUGGAGCUGGAGGUGGCAGGAGGAUGCAGAAAUCNNNNNNNNNNNNNNNNNNNNNNNNNNNNNNNNNNNNNNNNNNNNNNNNN
This 1275-nucleotide long non-coding RNA is filed under the name Zonotrichia albicollis (white-throated sparrow). RNAcentral describes it as "lncRNA (ENSZALG00000017911.1)". The record is from RNAcentral. Lineage: Eukaryota; Metazoa; Chordata; Aves; Passeriformes; Passerellidae.